Molecule: ribosomal RNA, 253 nt
Filed under: uncultured bacterium
Lineage: Bacteria
Description: partial 16S ribosomal RNA
Rfam family: Bacterial small subunit ribosomal RNA
Source: RNAcentral
UACGGGGGGUGCAAGCGUUAAUCGGAAUUACUGGGCGUAAAGGGUGCGUAGGUUGUCAGAUAAGUUAUCUGUAAAAUCCCUGGGCUUAACCUGGGCAGGUCAGAUAAGACUGUAUGACUAGAGUAUGGGAGAGGGUAGUGGAAUUUCCGGUGUAGCAGUGAAAUGCGUAGAGAUCGGAAGGAACACCAGUGGCGAAGGCGGCUACCUGGCCUAAUACUGACACUGAGGCACGAAAGCGUGGGGAGCAAACAGG